CCUACGGGCGGCAGCAGUGAGGAAUAUUGGUCAAUGGCCGGAAGGCUGAACCAGCCAUGCCGCGUGAAGGUCAGUGCCCUAUGGGCGUUAAACUUCUUUUGUGCGGGAGCAAUAAUGGUCACGUGUGGCCAGACGAGAGUACCGUACGAAUACGCAUCGGCUAACUCCGUGCCAGCAGCCGCGGUAAUACGGGGGCUGCAAGCGUUAUCCGGAUUUAUUGGGUUUAAAGGGUGCGUAGGCUGGGAGGUAAGUCAGCGGUGAAAUGCCCCCGCUCAACGGAGUGAAGUGCCAUUGAUACUGCCUUGCUGGAAUGCCGAUGCCGUGGGAGGAAUUUGUGGUGUAGCGGUGAAAGGCAUAGAUAUCACACAGAACACCGAUUGCGAAGGCAUCUCACGAAUCCGCGAUUGACGCUGAUGCACGAAAGCGUGGGUAUCAAACAGGAUUAGAUACCCCUGUAGUC
This 460-nucleotide ribosomal RNA is filed under the name uncultured bacterium. RNAcentral's name for it is "partial 16S ribosomal RNA". It matches the Rfam family "Bacterial small subunit ribosomal RNA", at positions 338 to 795 of the family's 1533-position model. The record is from RNAcentral.